GCCUGGGUGGCUCAGUCGGUUGAGUGUCUGACUUUGGCUCAGGUCAUGAUCUCGCGGUCUGUGGAUUCAAGCCCCACAUCGGGCU
This 85-nucleotide transfer RNA is filed under the name Felis catus (domestic cat). It matches the Rfam family "tRNA". From Rfam's summary of the family: Transfer RNA (tRNA) molecules are approximately 80 nucleotides in length. Lineage: Eukaryota; Metazoa; Chordata; Mammalia; Carnivora; Felidae. RNAcentral also lists the same sequence under 2 other names. The record is from Rfam by way of RNAcentral.